RNAcentral lists this ribosomal RNA (649 nucleotides) under uncultured marine bacterium. Its description in RNAcentral is "bacterial SSU rRNA". It matches the Rfam family "Bacterial small subunit ribosomal RNA", at positions 72 to 733 of the family's 1533-position model. The record is from RNAcentral.
UCAGUAGUUUACUACAGAAAAUGACUGAGCGGCGAACGGGUGAGUAACGCGUGAGCAAUCUACCUUAGUUACAGGGAUAGCCCGAGGAAACUCGGAUUAAUACCUGAUAUUCUUUAUAUUUCGCAUGAAAUUAAAAGGAAAGGUCAGCCGAACUAAGAUGAGCUCGCGUUCUAUCAGCUAGUUGGUGAGGUAAAAGCUCACCAAGGCUACGACGGAUAGCUGGUCUGAGAGGACGAUCAGCCACACUGGGACUGAGACACGGCCCAGACUCCUACGGGAGGCUGCAGCAGGGAAUAUUGCGCAAUGAGCGAAAGCUUGACGCAGCGACACCGCGUGUGGGAUGACGGAUCUAGGUUUGUAAACCACUUUCAGGAGGGAAGAAAAUGACGGUACCUCCACAAGAAGCCCCGGCCAACUACGUGCCAGCAGCCGCGGUAAUACGUAGGGGGCGAGCGUUGUCCGGAUUUAUUGGGCGUAAAGAGCUCGUAGGCGGUUCAACAAGUCGGUCGUGAAAGUUCAGGGCUCAACCCUGAAAUGUCGAUCGAUACUGUUGUGACUAGGAUACGGUAGAGGUGAGUGGAAUUCCGAGUGUAGCGGUGAAAUGCGUAGAUAUUCGGAGGAACACCAAUUGCGAAGGCAGCUCACUGGG